UGGGGAAUCUUGCACAAUGGAGGGAACUCUGAUGCAGCGACGCCGCGUGAACGAAGAAGGCUUUCGAGUCGUAAAGUUCUUUUAUAUGGGAAGAUAAUGACGGUACCAUAAGAAAAAGCCACGGCUAACUACGUGCCAGCAGCCGCGGUAAUACGUAGGGGGCUAGCGUUGUCCGGAAUCACUGGGCGUAAAGGGUUCGCAGGCGGAAAUGCAAGUCAGGUGUAAAAGGCAGUAGCUUAACUACUGUAAGCAUUUGAAACUGCAUAUCUUGAGAAGAGUAGAGGUAAGUGGAAUUUUUAGUGUAGCGGUGAAAUGCGUAGAUAUUAAAAAGAAUACCGGUGGCGAAGGCGACUUACUGGGCUCAUUCUGACGCUGAGGAACGAAAGCGUGGGUAGCAAACAGG
RNAcentral lists this ribosomal RNA (403 nucleotides) under Bacteroidota bacterium. RNAcentral's name for it is "Bacteroidetes bacterium partial 16S ribosomal RNA". It matches the Rfam family "Bacterial small subunit ribosomal RNA", at positions 355 to 776 of the family's 1533-position model. Lineage: Bacteria; Pseudomonadati; Bacteroidota. The record is from RNAcentral.